GUGUAAAUUGAGUGGCUCCUCAGGGCAAUUCUCCUCCAUGCAGUGAUUCAGGGAUCCAGACUCCACCCAUCUGGAGAUGCCAACAUCUGAACAUCUGGUUUCCAGAGUCAUUGUAGCAGAGGAAGAGAGGAGUGAUGGUUUGCCAAGAAUUUUAUUAAAUGUCAUGCCUGGGAGUGGUUGGACAUCAUUCCCACCUAUAUUCUAUUGGAAGCACCCAAUCAUAUAGCCCCAACAUAAUUACAAGCAAGAGUGAAAAAUGUAGGGGAGUCAAUGGAACAACUGGUGAAUACCAGUGUCUUUGCUACACCUGCACUAAUGACAAAUAAUUUACAGUUUAGGAAAAUGCAUGACAAAGAACAAAGAGCUUAAAAUCAAACAAGCCUGGGCUCAAAUCCAAACUUUGUUACUUGCCACCUAUAUGACUUUGAGCAGUUUGGAACCCAUUUCCUUAUAUUUCAAAUGGGGGUAUUAUGGAACCUACCUUACAGUUUUGCUGUAAGGAUUAUAUGAGAUAAUAAGUAUAAAUCUGACACAUAAUUGCUUAAUAAAUGGUAGCUGUUUAUUAUUUUUCUCUUCUCUUAACUUUGAAACUGCUGAUUCACUUCUGUGAAUAUUCUGUGGCAACUUGCGAGAAAAAAUUUAAGUGUCUGUCACACUCACCAGCUCCCACCUGAGAAACACUUUAUUGCUACUAAAACCUGAUUAAACUGAGCUUCAAAAAAGAAGCAGUCAUCUGAGAGGUUAUUCACCGUCAAAUAAGCCUCUUGUACUCUGCUCUGGGCAUCAAGGACCAGGGUUCCCGCUGUACCAUAGAGGACCUGUGUGCAAAUUAGAAAAAAAAGCCCUUCCUCUUGAUGGAAUACUGUAAACUUUCAAAAAUAUAAACCGACAUAAAUGCAUGGAAGUCAUUGUUCUUUUAUGUAUGGAUUAAUGUACUUGCAUAGUAAUUCACAAUGAUAUUUUAUGUGAAAUAUCUUUAUUUGUUCUAAGCAGUUUCUUCAAAUAAGGAUAAAAUAGGCUCUAGAGUGUAGUAUUAAGAAUUACAAUGGGCCAGGCAUGGUGGCUCACACCUGUAAUCCCAGCACUUUGGGAGGCCAAGGCAGGUGGAUCACCUGAGGUCGGGAGUUCAAGACCAGCCUCACCAACAUGGAGAAACUUAAUCUCUACUAAAAAAACAAAAUUAACUGGGUGUGGUGGCAAAUGCCUGUAAUCCCAGCUACCCGGGAGGCUGAGACAGGAGAAUCCCUUGAACCCAGGAGGCGGAGGUUGCAGUGAGCUGAGACCGCACCAUUGCAAUCCAGCCUGGGCAUCACAGUGAGACUCUGUCACAAAUAAAAAAAAGAAGAAAAUGAAUUACAAUGAACUGCAAGUAAAAGAAUUAAAAAAAAAAAAAAAAAAAACAGUGGCAUAAUUAGUUGAGAAGUCUUAUUUUUUUCACAUGUAGCUAGAAGUGAAAAAGGAGGCAGCCCAUGGCUGGUACUGUAGUCAUACCAUCAGAGACCCAAGCUCUUUCUGCUUUCCUCUCAAUCAUUCUCAGCUUGUGCUGGCUCCUUGGGGCCAUAAUAUUUUCCAGCAUCAGAUUUUUAUUCCAGAAAGGAAGAAGGAGAAGGGCAAAAGGACUCCCCAUCCUCCUUCAAGGAACUACUCAAUAUUUCACUUGCUUCUCAUUGGCCAAAGGAAUGUCACAUGACAACUCCUUUCUACAAAGGAAGCCAGAGAAUGUAGGUUUUUAGCUGGGCAUGUGGUUCUGGCAGUAAGAAAAAGCAGGAGAGUGGAUAUUGGGUAGACACCUAACAAUGUUCAGAUGUAUUUGUGACAAGUUGAUUGAAACAAGGGGAAAAGGAGUGAUUAAAAAAAAAAAAAAAGCAUAUGAGGCAAUUCCCUAAAUCAGUCAUCUACUUCCACAAUAAUGCUCCCUCGCAGUAAAAAAACCUCAGGGACAUGCAACAGUAAACAUCUAGGGUCAGCUGGAGGUCAGCUAAGUGGCUCUGCUAAUUUUGGCUGGGCUUACUCAUAUGUGUGAGAGUCGGCUGGCAGUUGGCUGAUCUAGACUGGCUUUGACUGGAGCAACAGAGAUGGCUCAGCUCUGCUGCUCAGUUUCUCUUCCUCCAGCCGGCUAGCUUGAGCGUGUUGUCAUGGCAAUGGCAGAUACACAAGACAGCAAAAGGAAACACACACAGUCUCUGAAGUUCUAUAUGUGGAACUGAUACUUACACUUUACCUUGUUGGCCAAAACAGGUCCAUGAUUAGGCUCAGAAACAGCAUUGGACAGCAAUACAGAUGUGUAUGGUGAAGGACAUAGAUACAGGAGGGAUGAAUAAUUAGGGUCAUUUCUACACUCUGCCAUAUCCCCUCUCUAUAGAUUCUUAGACCUAGUAGCUAAAAGAGGCAUUAAGUGGUUAAAAAGGAUUCUCUAGAAAGCAGAGUUUAUCACAUUCACAUUCACUCAAAGAUCUGCUGUUUAAAGAGUCAUGUCCCAGCAGUAUGAUUGCAUGUUUUAAAAUUAUAAAAAUAAUAUCCUAGAUAUUUAGAACACCAACACCACGUUUUUGGGAAUAACACCCUAAAGGAAGAAUUUUCUUUAGAUUAUUAAAACUUUACAAUAUUGUUUCCAAUUUUUUAUUUUGAUAAAAUACACAUAACUUAAAAUUUAACCUCUUAAAGAUUUUUCAGGGUGUAUAGUUCCAGUGGUUUUAAUACCUUCAUUCAUAAUGUUGUAUAAAUAUCACCACCACCCAUCUUCAGAACUUUUUCCAUCUUGUAAAAUUGGAAUUAUUUACCCAUUAAACAAUAACUCUCAAUUGCCCCCAUCCCCUGGCAACCACCAUCUCUAUUAUUUUGAAACAGGGUGGACAGGAUACCGUGCCUGCUCUGGAAGGAAUGGCUGGGUCGGAGAAUUAACACCCUCCAGUGACCACGUGGGCAGCAGAAACUGUACCUUGUGCAUUUUGAAAGAAGAAGCUGGAGCUGAGAGCCUUGAAAGAUGUUCCUGGUGUCUCUCAGCAGGGGCUUUGCACGUGUACUUUAUGGAAAUGGUUUGAGCCCACGGGGCAUCCUGCCAGCCACAUCCAUGAAUGCAAAGGUUAGAGUCACCAUGCUUGAGCAAAGGAGUAGUGGAGACCUUGCUUUGUAGGAGCUGAGAGAAGAAGGCUUCAGACGAUCAAAUUACUCUGAGCUACGGGAGGACAUUCAAACCAAAGGCAAAGAAGUUGAAAACUUUGAAAAAAAUUUAGAAGAAUGUAUAACUAGAAUAACCAAUACAGAGAAGUGCUUAAAGGAGCUGAUGGAGCUGAAAACCAAGGCUCGAGAACUACGUGAAGAAUGCAGAAGCCUCGGGAGCCGAUGCGAUCAACUGGAAGAAAGGGUAUCAGCAAUGGAAGAUGAAAUGAAUGAAAUGAAGUGAGAAGGGAAGUUUAGAGAAAAAAGAAUAAAAAGAAAUGAGCAAAGCCUCCAAGAAAUAUGGGACUAUGUGAAAAGACCAAAUCUACGUCAAUGGGGAAAGGAUUCCCUAUUUAAUAAAUGGUGCUGGGAAAACUGGCUAGCCAUAUGUAGGAAGCUGAAACUGGAUCCCUUCCUUACACCUUAUACAAAAAUCAAUUCAAGAUGGAUUAAAGAUUUAAACGUUAGACCUAAAACCAUAAAAACCCUAGAAGAAAACCUAGGCAUUACCAUUCAGGACAUAGGCAUGUGAUCCACCCGCUUCAGCCUCCCAAAGUGCUGGGAUUACAGGCGUGAGCCACCGUGCAUGAAUAUUUUCGUUUGUUUCUGAAGAAAGAGCAGCAUAGCAUGUUUGCUUCUAGCAAAGAAGCACACUUUAUUAAAAUUCUAAUAGGAAGAGGAGAAGAGCCCUGCCUCACUACGGGAAGCCAGAUUCUGGAGAGUGUGGAUCAUCCCAAAUUUUUGAAAUUCUACAUAGGUUAGUGGAUCUCAACCAGGGGACAGUGGCGAUGUCUGGAAACAUUUUUUGGUUGUUUCAACUGGGGAAGCUGGUCAUUCUGGCAGUGAGUAGAGGCUGGGGAUGCUGUUUCCUCCAUAUUUAUUGCCCAGUCGCUCUGGAACUUGGUUUCCACUCAGUCCAAAUGAGAAGAGUGGGUCUAUCAAAUUUAUGAAGAUCUGGGAGUUACGGAAAGAAUCAGAAGAACCAUUAAAAGCUUAUUCUUGUCAGGUGCAGUGACUCAUGCCUGUAGUCCCAGCUACUCAGGAGCCUGUGUUGGGAGGAUCACUUGAGCCUGGGAGGUAGAGGCUGCAGUGACCCGAGAUCGCGCCUCUGCACUCCAGCCUGGGUGACAGAGUAAGACUGUCUCUUAACAAAAAAGAAAGUAUAUUAAAUUUAAAAAGAAGCUUAUACUUCACAAGUAUGACAAAAGUUCAACAACUCAAGGACUAUAGGAGGGCUGGGACAAGCAACUAAGCACAGAGAGAAAGGGGCCGUGCAAAGGAAGAAAUGUGGUAGGGAGAGCCCAACGCCCAGAAAGUGGAUAUACAUUUUUUUUAUUACACAAAAUACUUUCUUACUCAUAAGAAAGACUUAAAUACCCCCCUUUUCCACAAAUACACCAGAUUUUGUUUCAUUUCUCUAUUUUCCAAACUUCUUGAAAUGUGCUUAUGAGGAAAAAAAAAUAUUUUUCCAAAAACGAUUUUAAAAACAAACAAACUUGUGAACGUCACCAGAGAUGGAUGCCCCACCAACGCUGGAGCUGGCCUCGCUGCUGCUUUGGCGACUUGCUUUGAGCUCCUCUCCCUCCACGCCACGCGGAAGUCGCAGGAAUGGGAUGUGAAAGAGUGUUUCUCUAAGCAUCCUUCGCAGGGUGCCACCGCCGUUUCCAGGCACUUUUUCUGCUAGACGCUCAAGACAAGAGAAGGGCAUGUGAAGGGCCAGGAAGCCGGGGCAGGGGCCGCCGUGAGAGAGCGGAGGAGGAGGGUGUGAGGCGCAACCGGGUCUGUUUCACGCUGAAACGCUAGGGCCGUGCUUUCCGCUAGGCAGCUGCGCAGAGCAACCGCUCCUCCGCUGGGCGCGCUUCGCUGCUGGGGAGGGACAGGCAGGGAUGCCUGGUGCAAGCGAUCCCUCGGCCCCGGGGCGGCCCAGCCUCGCCGAGCUCCAUUAGUUGGCAUCCGAAACAUCUGGCAGGGGCUCAGGCUGGGGCCCCAGGGACGAAGCCAGUUUGGUGAGGGCCCGCGCUAUGCUGUCCAGGUGGCCGUUCAUGGUCCGCAGCUCCACCAGGAUGUCCCCGACGUGGGCCUCCAAGCUCGCCGCAGCGGCGGGCCGGGCUCGGGGCGGCGGGGAUGUACCCGCGUCCACGGUGCCCUCCUCCCUGCCCGCAGUGCUGGGGCGCGGGGCGCGGCUCCUUUCCGGGCCCUCGGCCGGUGCCAGGACGGGCGGCGGCCGCUCCUUGUCAUCCCCGCGUGUGCUGGGAGAGAUGGUCGAAGGGCAACCGGGGAGCCAGUCGACCAGACGCGGGGCGGCCUCCGGGGAGGAGGCGACGACUGAGUAGCGGCCUGUGCGCCGGGAGGCGCCGGGGCCUGGGGGCGCCGAGGCUGCGGGGAGCGGAGGCAACAGCGGAGGCAGCGCUGGCGGACCUGGGGAAAAGG
RNAcentral lists this long non-coding RNA (5589 nucleotides) under Homo sapiens (human). RNAcentral's name for it is "non-protein coding RUNX2-AS1:18". The record is from RNAcentral. Lineage: Eukaryota; Metazoa; Chordata; Mammalia; Primates; Hominidae.